Long non-coding RNA from Phascolarctos cinereus (koala), 1003 nucleotides. RefSeq lists it as uncharacterized. NCBI's taxonomy places the organism in Eukaryota, Metazoa, Chordata, Mammalia, Diprotodontia, Phascolarctidae. The record is from RefSeq and is a predicted model, not a curated record.
UCAAGGCUGUCCUGUUUGCCUGUUCUGGACUUUUUGGCCUACCUUCUCUUCUUGUUAUUUUUUGGAACCUCAUGCUAGCCCCCUCUUCAUCUCUUCCCUUUCCCCUUCCUCCCUCUUAGGAACUCACAUUCUAAUGGGGAAAGCAAAAUGUGAAGCACAUACAAGAAAUAUAGAGAUUAGAGGGAAGGUGAGCUCAGAAGGAACACGUAAAGUAGCUGAGAGGAAAUUCUGCAGGAGAUGGAAUUUGAACCGAGUCUUGAAGGUUGCCAAGAAACCCAAGAGGCACUGAUUAAGAGGGAGAAUAUUCCAGGUCUGGAAGACAACCAGCACAAAGGGAAAGACAAUUAGCAAACCCAUGAACCAGCAACUCUUUAAAAACUCUCCAGUGGAAAUGAACACACUGUUGUCAAGCACAAGCAACUGUUACCUUAAGAUCCUGGUCUUGAUUGCUUCCACUGCCUGGUCUGUACCAAGAGGAGCCAGAUUUGAGGGGAAGCAUCAUCUACAUCAUUCCAAAAGUCCUUUCCAGCCCUUAUUCUUAUGAGCUGACAAACCCAGAACCAAAGAGCCCUGAGAAUGCAAAUGCUUCCAGUCCAGUGCCUUCAGCCAUCAUCCUGGGAAACAGCUCCUAUGGGGAUGCAGCCGGUAACUGCUCCAGCAGGUGCUACAAUGACAUCUACUGAAGACCUGGAAAGGAAAAUUCUUGUCCCCAAAGUCCUUGGCAAUGUCCAAUGGUUCAAUAUUAGAAACUGAUAUGAUUUUAUCAGUGGAAAGGACGUUAAAGAAGAGGCAUUACCAUCUGAUUGGCCACUGCACCUGAGGGACUAUAGGGACCUUCCUAUUUGAUUUGCAGCUGAAACCAUCGAUGUGUGUUGUCUCCCCCUUAGAAUAUGAGGUCCUUGAGAAGAGGCGCUCUUCUUCCCAUCUGUAUGCCCACCACUUGGCUUUGUACAUAGUAAGUGCUUAAUAAAUAUUUUGUUCAUUCAUUCAUUCAACACUAAAC